Molecule: ribosomal RNA, 480 nt
Filed under: uncultured bacterium
Lineage: Bacteria
Description: partial 16S ribosomal RNA
Rfam family: Bacterial small subunit ribosomal RNA
Source: RNAcentral
GACGAACGCUGGCGGCGUGCUUAACACAUGCAAGUCGAACGAUGAAGAAAAGACUUGAAGCUUCGGCAGAAAUUCAUUUCGGAUUAGUGGCAGACGGGUGAGUAACGCGUGAGCAACCUACCUCUUACAAAGGGAUAGCCUCGGGAAACCGGGAUUAAUACCAUAUAACAUUGCGACGAAGCAUUUCGAUGCAAUCAAAGCUACGGCGGUAAGAGAUGGGCUCGCGUCCCAUUAACCAGAUGGUGAGGUAACGGCUCACCAUAGUAACGAUGGGUAACCGGACUGAGAGGGUGAACGGUCACACUGGAACUGAGACACGGUCCAGACUCCUACGGGAGGAAGCAGUGGGGAAUAUUGCACAAUGGAGGGAACUCUGAUGCAGCGACGCCGCGUGAGUGAUGAAGGAAUUCGUUUCGUAAAACUCUGUUCUAUGGGAAGAAAAGGACUGUACCAUAGGAGAAAGCUCCGGCUAAAUACGUG